Molecule: long non-coding RNA, 617 nt
Organism: Heterocephalus glaber (naked mole-rat)
Lineage: Eukaryota; Metazoa; Chordata; Mammalia; Rodentia; Bathyergidae
Source: Ensembl
CGGCACAGUGGGGCAGUGCGGGAGUGGCACGGUUCUAACACUGUGGGGAGCUCUGGGAUGUUCGCAGGUGUGUGGGGAGGGACUGUUGAGGCCUAAGGGGGAAGGGAAGGGACCAGACCUCCCCCCCCCUCCCCGAGGCUCAGCAGGCUGCGACACCAGCUCCAAGUUGAGGGGUCUGAGAAUGUGGAGCUGAGAUACUUGUUCUGCUGCUGGAGAAGGCACUGAUGGGGGUAAUGCAUGGAGACGCAAUGUCACUUACACAAGAUGUUGAUGGCAUUUACUAUAUAAAAACCUUCCUCCUAGAGUAAAGAGUAUCAGCAUUACAACGCGACAGACGGCGGCGGGAUAAGUAAAACAGACAGAAGACAAACAAGAUAAUAAUCUGUUUCCGAUCACUUAAGCCCUGUGGAGUUAGUAAUAUGCGGUUUGCAUAUUCCCCCUUGAGUUCGCCAGCCGUGAAAAAUUAUACUGGUGUACCACUGAGAAACUGUUUUGCCGCAAAGAGCCCGCGCCUAAUCACUGGCUUUCUCCCUCCGACAAAAGUGUAAUUAUUUUGUUUGGGGUGUAAAUAUAGGCCGCGCUGCGCACACAUACUCAGCGUCCCGCCGCGCCCGGCC